Molecule: ribosomal RNA, 999 nt
Filed under: Lacticaseibacillus paracasei
Lineage: Bacteria; Bacillati; Bacillota; Bacilli; Lactobacillales; Lactobacillaceae
Description: bacterial SSU rRNA
Rfam family: Bacterial small subunit ribosomal RNA
Source: RNAcentral
GAACGAGUUCUCGUUGAUGAUCGGUGCUUGCACCGAGAUUCAACAUGGAACGAGUGGCGGACGGGUGAGUAACACGUGGGUAACCUGCCCUUAAGUGGGGGAUAACAUUUGGAAACAGAUGCUAAUACCGCAUAGAUCCAAGAACCGCAUGGUUCUUGGCUGAAAGAUGGCGUAAGCUAUCGCUUUUGGAUGGACCCGCGGCGUAUUAGCUAGUUGGUGAGGUAAUGGCUCACCAAGGCGAUGAUACGUAGCCGAACUGAGAGGUUGAUCGGCCACAUUGGGACUGAGACACGGCCCAAACUCCUACGGGAGGCAGCAGUAGGGAAUCUUCCACAAUGGACGCAAGUCUGAUGGAGCAACGCCGCGUGAGUGAAGAAGGCUUUCGGGUCGUAAAACUCUGUUGUUGGAGAAGAAUGGUCGGCAGAGUAACUGUUGUCGGCGUGACGGUAUCCAACCAGAAAGCCACGGCUAACUACGUGCCAGCAGCCGCGGUAAUACGUAGGUGGCAAGCGUUAUCCGGAUUUAUUGGGCGUAAAGCGAGCGCAGGCGGUUUUUUAAGUCUGAUGUGAAAGCCCUCGGCUUAACCGAGGAAGCGCAUCGGAAACUGGGAAACUUGAGUGCAGAAGAGGACAGUGGAACUCCAUGUGUAGCGGUGAAAUGCGUAGAUAUAUGGAAGAACACCAGUGGCGAAGGCGGCUGUCUGGUCUGUAACUGACGCUGAGGCUCGAAAGCAUGGGUAGCGAACAGGAUUAGAUACCCUGGUAGUCCAUGCCGUAAACGAUGAAUGCUAGGUGUUGGAGGGUUUCCGCCCUUCAGUGCCGCAGCUAACGCAUUAAGCAUUCCGCCUGGGGAGUACGACCGCAAGGUUGAAACUCAAAGGAAUUGACGGGGGCCCGCACAAGCGGUGGAGCAUGUGGUUUAAUUCGAAGCAACGCGAAGAACCUUACCAGGUCUUGACAUCUUUUGAUCACCUGAGAGAUCAGGUUUCCCCUUCGGGGG